UGUGCUAAGGGUUUCUUUUUGCCCUUCAGCGCUAGUCCGGAAGCAUACAUGC
Molecule: small nucleolar RNA, 52 nt
Filed under: Gallus gallus (chicken)
Lineage: Eukaryota; Metazoa; Chordata; Aves; Galliformes; Phasianidae
Description: GGN152 snoRNA
Source: RNAcentral